Triticum urartu is the source of this 115-nucleotide non-coding RNA. NCBI's taxonomy places the organism in Eukaryota, Viridiplantae, Streptophyta, Magnoliopsida, Poales, Poaceae. The record is from Rfam.
UACCUACUCCCUCUGUUCGGAAUUACUUGUCGUUGAAAUGGAUGUAUCUAGAUGUAUUUUAGUUCUAGAUACAUCCAUUUCCGAGACAAGUAAUUCCGAACAAAGGGAGUAGAAA